RNAcentral lists this ribosomal RNA (245 nucleotides) under uncultured Opitutus sp. Its description in RNAcentral is "partial 16S ribosomal RNA". It matches the Rfam family "Bacterial small subunit ribosomal RNA", at positions 524 to 770 of the family's 1533-position model. The record is from RNAcentral. Lineage: Bacteria; Pseudomonadati; Verrucomicrobiota; Opitutia; Opitutales; Opitutaceae.
UACAGAGACUGCGAGCGUUAUUCGGAUUCACUGGGCGUAAAGGGUGCGCAGGCGGCCGUGUGUGGGGCGUGAAAGCCCGGGGCUUAACCCCGGAAUUGCACCUCAAACUACAUGGCUAGAGUACUGGAGAGGGUAACGGAAUUCACGGUGUAGCAGUGAAAUGCGUAGAUAUCGUGAGGAACACCAGAGGCGAAGGCGGUUACCUGGACAGUUACUGACGCUCAGGCACGAAAGCGUGGGGAGCA